AUAGAGACUCAGAGCUGCAUAUCAAUAAGCGGAGGAAAAGAAACUAACAAUGGAUUCCCUUAGUAACGGCGAGUGAGGCGGGAAGAGCUCAAAUUUGAAAUCUUCAAGGGUUCUACCUUUACGAAUUGUAGUUUAUAGAAGUGUUUUCUGUUGAGUAGAGUAGCAAAGUUCUUUGGAAUAGGACAUCAUAGAGGGUGAGAAUCCCGUAUUUGAUCAUAAUCUAAUUUCUAGCUUUGUGAUACACUUUCAACGAGUCGGAUUGUUUGGGAAUGCAGUCCAAAAUGGGUGGUAAAUUUCAUCUAAAGCUAAAUAUUGGCGAGAGACCGAUAGCGAACAAGUACCGUGAGGGAAAGAUGAAAAGAACUUUGAAAAGAGAGUUAAACAGUACGUGAAAUUGUCAAAAGGGAAGCGUUUGACACCAGUGUUGUUUUUCCGAAAAUCAAUUGACGAAUGUUUUAUUUUUGAGGAGUUAUGACUUCAUCGGCUUGCUUCUCUCUUUAUGAAACUUUCUUAAUGCACCUUUCGGUUAACAAGUCAACAUCAAUUUCUUUUGUUGUAAAAGGGUAUGAGGAAGGUGGCUUUCUUUUCGGAGAAAGUGUUUAUAGCCUUGUAGCCUCUGCAAUCGGAGAGAUUGAGGUCUGCAGCGUAGAUCCUUCGGGGUUAGAUACAUUUGUGCUAAGUUAUAGCUUUUCAUAGACAACUUGUUGACUAUGAUUAAGUCAUUGUAGCUUACUCGCUUAUGCUAUUUUACCUACGCUUAGGAUGUUGAUAGUCACAGCGUGUAC
RNAcentral lists this ribosomal RNA (785 nucleotides) under uncultured Neocallimastigales. Its description in RNAcentral is "partial large subunit ribosomal RNA". It matches the Rfam family "Eukaryotic large subunit ribosomal RNA", at positions 23 to 644 of the family's 3401-position model. Lineage: Eukaryota; Fungi; Neocallimastigomycota; Neocallimastigomycetes; Neocallimastigales. The record is from RNAcentral.